UUUUGACUUUUUAAAAUUAUAUGUGUAUUUAUAUCCAGUUGACAAAUAGCAUCACAAUUAUUACUGUAUAAAAAACUAAAAAUCACCAUGGAAGCUAAGGCCUAAAUUCUCAUUCCAAUUGUUCCCUUUUGUUGAUACCUAAGAGAUAUUAAUUAGAUUCCAGUACCUCAAAAAAAAAAACAAACCCAAAUAAACAAAAAAACCCAGGUCUACAUUAUUUACAUACAGUAUGGGAAAAAAAGCUGCUUUUUGGCUAACUUAGAUUGCGGUUACCUGCAGUAUUUACACUGUAAAUGUUAAGGGGAAGAAGCACUACUAACAAAUACCAUUUAAAAAAAAUAUAUUGUGCCUGGAAUUUUAUUCUUAAAUUAGUUGUAUAUCCUAAUAAGUGUCUGUUGAAUAGAAUUUGACUUCUAAUAAAUCUACUGAAAGUGUGAAACAGAGUACCACUAUGCUUCUUUAUAUUGCUAAUCUAGAUCCUGUUAGGUCCAAUAUUGUAGUUAACUAUAAGCACUGAACCUUAAAUGAAACAAUGGCAACAUGUGUGUAGAUGAAAUUUUAUUCAGUAUUGUAAAAUAUAAUGCCUUGAUGUUUACUCACAAUUAUGAGACUAUCCUAUUCUUUUAAUCCUUUAAGAAGUCUCAUAUGAUAGGUCCCUAAACAGUGAAACCUUCCAGUAACUUACCAGAAAAAAGUUUAAUUAUGUUAUUCUGUUCUUAGAUGUUUCUAAUAUUUAAAAGCAUAUCUAAACCCUUGGCAAAAACAAACACAAUCAAUUCAGUGUAACAGACUGAGCUUUAAACUGUACUUUAAUUUUCAAUAACUGUAACCUACUGGUUAAUUGAACCAAACGUAGAGUAUUUAAAUGACUCACUAUGAAGUGUGUCAAAUCAAUGAUAGAAUGCAUAGAAAAGUGGAGAUAAGUUUGGGGGAAGGUGCAAGGUGGGUUAAUGUGAAAAACGGUAAAUGCCAGUUUUAAUAACAAAAAUGGUACUAAACGCAGAUGAACAUUAAAUUAAUACAGUAUAAAAGAGAACAGCUUAAAUAAACUGGUAUUCACAUAUUACAAUAGCAAAGUUAUGACAGAAUGAACUGAAGACACGAACAGUUUUGAAAAUUCUCUUUUCAGCCUACUUCCAAAUAGAAAUAGUCAGGCUUUUUUCCUGUACAUAGUUUGAUGCUUUGUCUAUACCAUAUAUAGUAGAAAAAUAAAUUCUUUAGCAACCUAGAAACAGUUUAUAAAACUCUUAAAGUUUAAUUUUCUUUGCCAGACAUGCCAAUAGUUAAACUGACAACUAUAAAUUAAAGCUAUAUAGACAAUAGGUAUAAGUAAUAUAGAACAGGUUAAGAAUACUACAUUUACCGGAUUUUUUUUUAAAAAUUACUGUACUUUCUUAAUUCCUGUGUGCUUUGCAAUAGGAAUAAUAGGGACUUUGUUUUCUUAGAAAAGAUAACAUGUAAGAGUAUAACACAAAUAAGAUAAUUUAUAAUAUACAUGUACUUCAACAGCAGCCUGGUUCAUGCCAACAUCUUGGUUCUGAAGUUAAAAUUGGAAGUACAAUACCUAGAACUUAACAGUUGGGAGAGACAAUAUUUAUUUUAGGAAAAAACAGAGCAAAUCAAACUCUUAGGAGCCUUGAAUCUGAAAAUCAUCUAUUUACUAUAAUACACAUAAGAUAAUCUUAAAUUGUAGUAUGAAUUAAGAUAACAUUGACCAAAUAAUUUUUUUCUUUACUACACAAAAUAUAACCUAGUGAAAUUUACCUGUGCCACCUAUUCUGAAAAUUUUAUCCAUAAUUUAGUGUUCUGGUUUUAUCUUCACUAACAAAAUGUUUACCCCCAAAAGCAGCAGUCACUUAUAGUAAUUCUGGUACCAACAUCAAAGGAAAAAAUUGGCUUAAAAAUGGUGCAAAAGCCAUUUUGGAUUUUAGUACAACACAUCACAGAAAAGAAUAUGAAUACAAAUUUGUAAUAUAAACACUCCAAAGAGUCUGUCAGUACCCAAAGUAUUUUUAUUGCUAUAUUAGCAAUGGGUUUUUUGGAUAUUUUUUAAGGGCCACAUAAAAAUAGAUUCAAGGAACAAAUUAAAUUGAAGUCCUAGAUUUAAAUGUUUGGUUUAAAGAAUUUUCUACAACAAAUUUCAUGUUUAUGUAUGAAAAGUUAUAUAACCUUAUAUGAAAAUGUCAUGGAAGUAUUUUCUACACUAUACUAAAUGUGUUCCCCAAGAGGGAAAAAAUUAAAAUAUCUAAAAUAUAUUAGAUUAAGAUUACAAGACCAUCAUAGAUCUUUUGAACAUGCAUCUGUUUACAGAAUUAACAGUAUACAAAAUUUUUAUUUCAUUAUGGACCAUAAAGAAAUGAGUUGGUGACAACUAUCCUUUGCACAACAUUAUCAACUCACUUUAGCCACAAGCAUGUCCUUGGUAUGUGUGUAAAAGAAAUAGGUUCAUUUAUCCCUCAUCAAAUCAUCCACGGGUUUACUUGGAAGUAAAGAUGAAGGUACAGAAAUGUGAAAUAUGUCAAGUGUAUUUUUUCUUUCUUUCAAACAACAUCCCAAGCAUGGCCUCAGUAGCCUGAAAUUAUAAAAUACUUAACUGGGCUUUUAGUUAUCUACACCGACUGCCAGAAUGUAAAUUAAGUUGCCCAAAUUAGCACAUCAAAUAACAAAAUCAGCCAGAAAGCAGGCUGAAAAGCAUUAAAUGUUUCAUAUAGGUGAGUUUUUAAAUCAUUUAAUUUCUAUAGAAAAAUUUUAUUCACAAUAUAAGGUGACAGAAAUUGCCACAGGAAUGAUAUACUGAUUGCAAUAAGGUUGCAUGCAGCAGCAGCUUUGUACUUUAUAGCUAUUUUUGUUUAUAAAAAUUAAACCUCUCCAGUCAUGCUUAUCACAUGGUCUUAGAUUUGUAAUGUAAGUGAAUAAGGAAUACCAUCUAGUUCAAAGAGAAAAUGUAAUUUUGAAUGUGAAUUAUCUGUAUGAAACAUGAAGUAUACUACUGAACCCUGAAACAUGCAUGUCUAGAUUUGCUUUUUGUCCAAAUCCAGCCUGUUUGCAAUCACUUCCUACUCAUAUAAUACCAAGAGGAUCCGUUUGUAAUUGUGGUUGUAUCAGCUGAGGUUGCAAUGGUGGCGGCAACUGAAGUGGCACCAUUGGUUCCACCAACUGUCCUGGGUUUGAAGGUGGUGGAGGAGCCACAAUGUUUGUCGUUUCUACAAUUUCUCCAUUGUAAAAGAAAAACUGACACUGCUGAAUGAAUGUUUCAACAACAGAUUGAUGAAUCUUAGUAGUAGACAGAAACUCUCGAUUUUCAAAAUCAGGUCUCAUCAAGGUUGGCCAAAAACAGAUGGAUAAGUUGUCUGCUGUCAUUAGGUUGAUUUUAUGUUGCUGACUAACCCUGAAAUUAUGAAAGGAAAAAACAUUUAGAAAUCAAAACUCAUUACAAUCACAGAAUUCCAGAGCUAGAAAUGAUCUCAGAUUUAAUGUUACCUUUUAUCCUACUUCAAACCUGGGGUUUAAAAAUUUGCAUAAAGAAGCAUCUUUAAUUCGUAUGUAAAAAACUUUUCCUGGGCCAGGUGCAGUGGCUCACGCCUGUAAUCGCAGCACUUUGGGAGGCUGAGCCACGGCGCCUGGCCCCACUUUUCUUUUCAGGCUUACAAACUACACAGAUCAGGGAAAAGACAACCAAGCAAUAAGCCUUUUCUGUUAUAAUAAAAAAAUGCUGUUAGGCUUAUUAGUAUAUUGAGGAACUUUACUAAUAUCUAUCUUUUUUUUUUGUUUAUACAGCUAUUUAAAAGAGGCCACAAGAGGCAGGUGAGGUGGUGCGUACCUGUAGUCCCAGCUACUCAGGAAACUAAGGUGAGAGGAUCACUUGAGCCCAGGAGUUUAAGUCCAGCCUGGGCAACAUAGUGAGACCCUGUUUCUUUGGAGGAGGAAAAAAAAAAAAG
This 3938-nucleotide long non-coding RNA is filed under the name Homo sapiens (human). RNAcentral describes it as "novel transcript, antisense to ARHGAP5". The record is from RNAcentral. Lineage: Eukaryota; Metazoa; Chordata; Mammalia; Primates; Hominidae.